AGAGGCGCGAGGACUUGCCGGCGGUCAGGAUCGCGUCCAGCACCGCCAGGGCGGGCGCGUCCUUGUCCGCGGCGGCGGGCGCCAGCCAGGUGAUGGCCAGGGCCGGCAGCGGCACAUUGGGGCCGUAGGUGUUGACGGUCUUGGGGCCGGUGCGGGCGGGCUCGACGGCGGUGACCUUCGGGAUGGCGCCGGCGGGCGUGGUCAGGGACCCGAAGUACUUGUCGAUCAUCGCGUCUAGCUUGGUCUGGUCGAAAUUGCCGACGAUGAUCAGGGCGGCGUUGUCCGGGCGAUAAUAGGUGCGGUGGAAGGCGCGCACGUCGUCGACGGUGGCCGCGUCCAGCUCCUCGAUCGAGCCGAUGCCCGGGCGCUGGUAGGGGUGGACGGCGAACGACUGCUGCGGGAUCGACAGGGCGAAGAAGCGGCCAUAGGGGUCGGCCAGGACCCGCUGGCGCAGUUCUUCCUU
RNAcentral lists this small RNA (463 nucleotides) under Caulobacter vibrioides NA1000. Its description in RNAcentral is "small non-coding RNA". The record is from RNAcentral. Lineage: Bacteria; Pseudomonadati; Pseudomonadota; Alphaproteobacteria; Caulobacterales; Caulobacteraceae.